CAGGGUAUAGGAGAAUUUGGUUAAUCCGCUGCAUUUGGGAUGCAGAGAUUGUUGGUUCAAAUCCAGCUACCCUGA
This 75-nucleotide transfer RNA is filed under the name Enterococcus faecium. RNAcentral's name for it is "tRNA-Pro". It matches the Rfam family "tRNA". Rfam says of the family: Transfer RNA (tRNA) molecules are approximately 80 nucleotides in length. Their secondary structure includes four short double-helical elements and three loops (D, anti-codon, and T loops). Lineage: Bacteria; Bacillati; Bacillota; Bacilli; Lactobacillales; Enterococcaceae. The record is from RNAcentral. RNAcentral also lists the same sequence under 7 other names.